Cervus elaphus (red deer) is the source of this 633-nucleotide long non-coding RNA. RefSeq lists it as uncharacterized. The transcript has 3 exons. The record is from RefSeq and is a predicted model, not a curated record. NCBI's taxonomy places the organism in Eukaryota, Metazoa, Chordata, Mammalia, Artiodactyla, Cervidae.
CCAAAUCGGCAUGACCUAAAAGGGAAAGAGUUCUGUAAACAAGGGGGACACUUUGUUGUCCAUCAAUGGAGAUGUGUCCUAUUUCCUCUUUGGCUUACCUUGCCAAAUCUGGUAUAUCAGACACCCAGUGACGAUUCAGGAUGUAUCAGAUCAAAGCACAUGAUGAAGGAACAUGGAGCAUAUCUUCAGUAUCUUGUGCUUUGGAGAUGAGGGAAUUGAGAGGUUAACGAGCUUAUCCAAGAUCACAUAGCUGGAAAGUGGCUGAGAUAAGGGAUUUGAAUCCAGACCAAUUUAACUCAAAAGUCUGUGCUCUGUGCUCUUUCAUCACAUCACUCCAACCCAAAGAAGAUACUAAUGCUUCAAUGACUGCAAGGACAAAAUACCUCCACACACAUCUCUUUACUACCUUCAGGGAUGAAGGAGUCUUUGGGGCCUAGAAAAGAGAACAACAGUCUCAAAGGCCCCUUGCUGAAUCAUCUAACUUCGGAGAAAACAAAACAGAAUUUUAGUUCCACCCUGAUGCUCCGGGCCGGUUGCAUCUAUCCAGGACUUAUCAACCCCUGUCCAGAAACCUUCCACCCCCUACACCUGCCCAGAAGACUUAUCACCCCCUGCCCAACUACAAAUGUCAUC